UAGAAUGUAUCUUCCCGGACUGCUACCCAGGGUUUUGCAUGCGUCAUUUGGGAGAGAACUUCCAAAGGCAAUUGAAGAACAUUACUUAGAAGAGUUCGAAGAAUAGUAUGGAAGGUAACCAUUGCAGUAAGGGUAGAAGAGUUCAAGGAAGAGAUAUCAAGAAUACGGGAAGUUGAUCCUCAAGUUUAUGACUGAAUAAAGGCACAACCACAUUAAUAUUGUGGGUGCAUGUUCAGAGUACGGAGAGACCUAGAGUUUGGGGCCAUCUGAUUUCGG
This 276-nucleotide long non-coding RNA is filed under the name Amborella trichopoda. RNAcentral describes it as "long non-coding RNA (ATRI_LNC003311)". The record is from RNAcentral. Lineage: Eukaryota; Viridiplantae; Streptophyta; Magnoliopsida; Amborellales; Amborellaceae.